CCCACAUGUAGUGGAAUACAAAUGUGCCGAGAUAAGGAUCUUUUCUGAAUCUCGCAAUUUUGGUGGCAUACCAUGCACGUUUGUUGCUAUGGAUGCUUUUACCUCUGUUUUAGAAGGCAACCCAGCUAAGAGAUAGAGUUUCAGAGACAUAAAGUGUGUGAAAUGAAUAACCUGCCAUGUGUAUGCACAUGUACCGGAUCUGCUUGAUGAAAGUCAAAUGCCUUACUAUAAAUUCAUCACCCAUAUGAUUAAACAUCAGGAAAUUUAUCUCAACAUGUGGAGUAAUGCUGUUGGUUUCUGUGAAUUC
Daphnia pulicaria is the source of this 307-nucleotide long non-coding RNA. RefSeq lists it as uncharacterized. The transcript has 4 exons. The record is from RefSeq and is a predicted model, not a curated record. NCBI's taxonomy places the organism in Eukaryota, Metazoa, Arthropoda, Branchiopoda, Diplostraca, Daphniidae.